UUCUUCUGUCGGUUCAGUGUAUGGGCAUCUGCUUAUCCUUCCUCUCGACUACAAACCAAUGACAUUUUGAAGAAUCGCCUCGUGUGUCAGAGGAAGAACAUGUAAGGAUCAGGUACAGAAGAAACAAACAAAACAAGAUGAUGACGUCACUGCAUUGAGGAGGCGAGGUGAAAACGAAAGUUGAACAGCAGAUCAAAUCUUCGCGAGUGCAUGUUUCCUGUAAUCAUGUGUUUCAUGCAAAAGCGUUCAUGUUAUAAAUCACAUAUGUGGGAAUUACCUGUAUUUAUUUUCUUUAACUAAUCAGUCUGAAAACGGUGAAGAGAGCGACGAGACCUGAAACACUUCCUGAAAUGGCAGCGAUCUGCAGCUCCAGUCCAGAUGAUCCAGUGAUCCGGAUUCUUCUGAAACGGUUCUGGAGAAAGCUCAUCUGUGGGGGCGAUUCACAAAAGACAAAAGAAGUAAAAUAAAAACAAACAAUGUAGAAACUCAAAGAAGAGACUGGAGAACUGAACUCUGGGAAGGCACUCCCUGUGAAAAACCCGAGUUUAUGAUAUUCACAGAUCACUGGAUUAACUGGGACGUGUGGAGGGAAUUACCACUUGAUUUGGUUGAUUUUGUUUGUUGGAGGCGACGGAGUUUCGGAUGGUUUCCUUCCUGCCCUCUUCUGCUGAAGGAGGAGCCUUUCUUUUGGCUGAACGGCUCAUAAUGAACUAGAUGUUUAUGCCUAGUCCUACAAUACAGCUCUUCAGAAUUCUGCUGUCACUUUUCCAUUUUGCCCAAGGACCCGCUUAAGUGUUAAAACAUGCCUAACAUCAGUGUGAAGUGUGCAGAGAUUGAGACUGACAGAGGGUUUGAGUUCAAGCUUCCCUCUGAUUCACUGAAUCACACACUCAGAGACUGACGGGCGUCUGAUAGCAGAUCCAUCAGAUCCUCAAACACUGAUUGAUCCUGUGACGGCUGUAAAAUCUGAUCGUCUCGUCACGUCUCGCUGUGUGAAUCUAAAUCAUGAGAUCAUCUGUGAUUCUGCUGAUGGAGUAAAUCAACUCAAUCUCUAUAUCUAUAUCUCUAUAUUUAAUCCUUCAUGAACAUUAUAAAUGCUGCUCUAAUUCUUCUUUCUCUCAUUUCAGCAUCAUUUCAGUCGUGUGACCGCAUUCAGAGUGAGGAAUGAAACUGCAGCGACUCCAAACUCAGAUCUCCUGAAUGAAGUGAGUCCAGAUCUCCAACAUUCAGUAGAUCACUUCUGGUGGCUUUUGGCUGUUUUCAUCAUUGUUCUUCUCAUCAUCUUCUUGAUCUGUUUGUUGAAGCGUAAAAGCAUUUUCAGAUGUUUUCAGAGGUUCAUCUGUCAGCGUGACGAUGAUGAUUCAGAAAACAGGGAUCCUGAAGCUGCUGUCCAAAUGAUCUGAUGCUCCUGAUUCACUGAAUCAAUCUCAGUGUGAAUCGACUCACGUCAUUAUUUACUCAAACGUCACUGUGAUCUUUGACAUGAAGAUGAUGAAGGGAGUUUGUGUUCAUUCUGAGCUUCUCAACUCUUAUUUAUUCUCGUUCGUCCUCAACUGUAAUGCAAAUGAAUACAUGAGAUAUAAAACACUGCAAGAUCUUACAAUCAAAAUGUGUGUUUGUUUUGUUCAUCAUUCAUCAAUUUAAUCAUUCAUGAUCAUUCCGUCAUUUACAUCUAUUCAUUCAAUCGUUUAUAUUGUUUUAUGUUUUAGAUUAUUAUUAUUAGGUUGUUCAUCCUGGUGUUUUUUAUGCUUCAUGUAAUGUGUGUCAUCAUGAAUGAGAUGAGGGUGAAUGUCUCCAGCUGCAGGGUUUUAAAGGAUGUCUUGUUAUACAGUAAUAACUCUUGCUGUAGGUUGUACUGAUCAGAUGAAGUCAGACUGAGCAGUGAAACAGACACAACUAAGGUUUUGCAGAGGAGCAGUCAUCUGAGUGUUCAAACUAAAAUCAGGUGGAAAGAACAGCAGGAGAGGAAAAAUAAACAGAUGAAGUAUCAGAUUGGUGAUGUAUGUCUUGUGUAAGCAGAUGCUUGCUGCACAGCAGUCUGUGUUUCCCUACAUAUGACAAACUACUGUGAAACAAUUAUCAUACUCUGAAGGAGCAAAACAGUAGAUAUAAGCUGUAAAUAUGGAAAGCAAUAUGUAAUCAAUGUUUGUACAGAUUGUGUGGAUCUUGCAUCAAAAUAUUAAUAUAAGCACACCUAGUCAUACUUUUGAGAUGGCAUGAUGAUAAUUAACUGGAAUAAUUGAAUUAAAAACAUUAAAUAGUGAGAAGACUGCAGCUGCUUCUGCUGGGAAUGAGAGUGAAGGUGAGCCUUGGGUAGUCGAAGAAUUGAACAAUUCAUACACAAAUAUGAUUCAGAGUUCUGCAUUAACAUGCAUGUGAUACUGUACUAUACUGUACUAUACUGCAAGAUAUAUACCUGCUUUUUAGUUUAAUACACCCCUGCCUUGGUGAAACACAGUAACUGACUUAAAUAUAAAGCACUGUAUAAAUAAAGGUGAAUUGACUUAAACAUUA
Molecule: long non-coding RNA, 2514 nt
Organism: Cyprinus carpio carpio
Lineage: Eukaryota; Metazoa; Chordata; Actinopteri; Cypriniformes; Cyprinidae
Source: Ensembl